AGAGUUUGAUCCUGGCUCAGAUUGAACGCUGGCGGCAUGGUUAAAACAUGCAAGUCGCAGGUGAAACCGCCUUCGGGCGGGAGUAAACUGGCGAACGGGCGAGUAAUGCGUUCCUAACUGCCCCGAAGAUGGGGAUAACUAGGGGAAACCCUGGCUAAUACCCAAUAAUCCUUUACGGGCAAACGCUCCGGCGCUUCGGGAUCGGGGAACGUCCUAUCAGGUUGUUGGUGAGGUAACGGCUCACCAAGCCAAAGACGGGUAGCGGGCGUGAGAGCGCGUUCCGCCGCAUCGGGACUGAGACACUGCCCGGACUCCUACGGGAGGCUGCAGUAACGAAUCUUCGGCAAUGCACGCAAGUCGACCGAGCAAUGCCGCGUGGUGGAUGAAGCCUUUCGGGGUGUAAACACCUGUCAGGAGCUAGGAAUUUUGACCAGCUCCAGAGGAAGGGCCGGCUAACUCCGUGCCAGCAGCCGCGGUAAUACGGAGGGCCCGAGCGUUAAUCGGAAUUACUGGGCUUAAAGGGUGCGUAGGCGGACAGGCAAGUACUUUGUGAAAGCCCUCGGCUCAACCGAGGAAUUGCUUGGUAAACUGCUUGUCUUGAGCCCGGUAGAGGCCAUCGGAACUCUAGGUGGAGCGGUGAAAUGCGUAGAUAUCUAGAGGAACGCCAAAGGCGAAAGCAGAUGGCUGGACCGGCGUGACGCUGAGGCACGAAAGCGUGGGUAGCGAACGGGAUUAGAUACCCCGGUAGUCCACGCCGUAAACGUUGUGCACUAGAUCGAGGGAGUUUUGACGCUGUCUCGGUCGAAGCGAAAGCGAUAAGUGCACCGCCUGGGCACUACGGUCGCAAGGCUAAAACUCAAAGGAAUUGACGGGGGCUCACACAAGCGGUGGAGCAUGUGGCUUAAUUCGAAGCAACGCGAAGAACCUUAUCCAGGGCUUGACAUGCAUGGAUUAGCUGCCUGGAAACAGGAGUGACGCCUUUUAGGUGGAACAUGUACAGGUGUUGCAUGGCUGUCGUCAGCUCGUGCUGUGAAGUGUCGGGUUAAGUCCCUCAACGAGCGAAACCCCUGCCGUUAGUUGCUAACAUUUAGUUGAGGACUCUAACGGGACUGCCGGUGUUAAGCCGGAGGAAGGUGGGGACGACGUCAAGUCAUCAUGGCCCUUAUGCCCUGGGCUGCACACGUGCUACAAUGGUUGGGACAAAGCGACGCAACACCGUAAGGUUGAGCAAAUCGCAAAAACCCAGCCCCAGUUCGGAUUGUGGUCUGCAACUCGACCACAUGAAGCUGGAAUCGCUAGUAAUCGCGGAUCAGCAAUGCCGCGGUGAAUACGUUCCUGAGCCUUGUACACACCGCCCGUCACGUCAUGGAAGCCGGGAGUGCCCGAAGUCGCGUCGGUACAGGCGCGCCGACGGCAAGCUCGGUGACUGGGACGAAGUCGUAACAAGGUA
This 1450-nucleotide ribosomal RNA is filed under the name uncultured Planctomycetota bacterium. RNAcentral's name for it is "uncultured planctomycete 16S ribosomal RNA". It matches the Rfam family "Bacterial small subunit ribosomal RNA". The record is from RNAcentral. Lineage: Bacteria; Pseudomonadati; Planctomycetota.